GCAGUCGAGCGGUAGAGAGAGCUUGCUUCUCUUGAGAGCGGCGGACGGGUGAGUAAUGCCUAGGAAUCUGCCUGGUAGUGGGGGAUAACGUUCGGAAACGGACGCUAAUACCGCAUACGUCCUACGGGAGAAAGCAGGGGACCUUCGGGCCUUGCGCUAUCAGAUGAGCCUAGGUCGGAUUAGCUAGUUGGUGGGGUAAUGGCUCACCAAGGCGACGAUCCGUAACUGGUCUGAGAGGAUGAUCAGUCACACUGGAACUGAGACACGGUCCAGACUCCUACGGGAGGCAGCAGUGGGGAAUAUUGGACAAUGGGCGAAAGCCUGAUCCAGCCAUGCCGCGUGUGUGAAGAAGGUCUUCGGAUUGUAAAGCACUUUAAGUUGGGAGGAAGGGCAGUUGCCUAAUACGUAACUGUUUUGACGUUACCGACAGAAUAAGCACCGGCUAACUCUGUGCCAGCAGCCGCGGUAAUACAGAGGGUGCAAGCGUUAAUCGGAAUUACUGGGCGUAAAGCGCGCGUAGGUGGUUUGUUAAGUUGGAUGUGAAAUCCCCGGGCUCAACCUGGGAACUGCAUUCAAAACUGACUGACUAAAGUAUGGUAGAGGGUGGUGGAAUUUCCUGUGUG
Molecule: ribosomal RNA, 623 nt
Filed under: Pseudomonas sp. MYb109
Lineage: Bacteria; Pseudomonadati; Pseudomonadota; Gammaproteobacteria; Pseudomonadales; Pseudomonadaceae
Description: bacterial SSU rRNA
Rfam family: Bacterial small subunit ribosomal RNA
Source: RNAcentral